This 663-nucleotide ribosomal RNA is filed under the name Oecanthus sp. Com. Its description in RNAcentral is "bacterial SSU rRNA". It matches the Rfam family "Eukaryotic small subunit ribosomal RNA", at positions 1155 to 1824 of the family's 1831-position model. The record is from RNAcentral. Lineage: Eukaryota; Metazoa; Arthropoda; Insecta; Orthoptera; Gryllidae.
UUAAAGGAAUUGACGGAAGGGYACCACAAGAUGUGGGGCCUGCGGCUCAAUCUGACUCAACACGGAAAAACUUACCAGACCAGGACACCGGAAGGAUUGACAGAUUGAGAGCUCUUUCUUGAUUCGGUGGGUGGUGGUGCAUGGCCGUUCUUAGUUGGUGGAGUGAUUUGUCUGGUUAAUUCCGGUAACGAACGAGACCCUGUUCUGCUAACUAGUCGAUAUUCCGGCAUCCUUGGUGCAGCCGGCGACUUAUACUCUUCUUAGAGGGACUGGCAGCUUUUAGCUGCAGGAAGUGGGGCAAUAACAGGUCUGUGAUGCCCUUAGAUGUUCUGGGCAGCACGCGCGCCACACUGAAGGCAUCAACGUGUCUUUCUUUGGCCGAGAGGUCCGGGCAACCCGUUGAAUCGCCUUCGUGAUAGGGAUAGGGGCUUGCAAUUAUCCCCCUCGAACGAGGAAUAUCUCGUAAGCGGAAAUCAUUAGUUUCUGCUGAUUAAGUCCCUGCCCUUUGUCCACACCGCCCGUCGCUACCACCGAUUGAAUUAUGGGGUGAGGUCUUCGGACCAGUGCGCGGCGUCCGCGGCUAACCGCCGUGGACACCGAGGCGACCGGAAAGAUGACCAAACUUCAUUAUUUAGAGGAUGUAAAAGUCGUAACAAGGUUGCC